UUGUAGUAGUAAUAUGCAAGAUUAGUACACAAAAAGAGGGAAUACAAAACAAGAAUAUUUUGUUGCCUAAAAGAUGUAGCUAGCUAGUUGAGUGAGUGACAAAAUAAUGGUUCAAAUUGGGAACACCCUAGCUAGCUAGCUACACCGGCCUCAUCAAUGCUAAUUAAGCUGCAAUAUCAACAACUUUAUAUCUUCAUAUAUAUUAAUUCAUUCUUCUCAUCUCUCACAUCUCCCUUUCUUCUCACCAAAAUACUUUGUAACUAUGAGGACUAUUCAUGGAGACUUGUAUGAUAAUAUCUACAAACAACCGACUCUUCUCGAACCAAAACUGGGGACGGAAAGAAAUAAGAGGACCAUCGCGAAGGAGCUGGAAAGACAAAGAUUGAAAGCUAUGCAAUCAAAAAAGGCACACAAAUCAGGUGUUUUCAUGAUAGAGGAAUUUUGGUUGAACAAGGAAGGAUGUCCAUUUGGAACUGUGCCUAUACGCAAAAUAGCAAAGAAACAACUCCAAAGUGCUGGAGAUGCCUCCUCGAGCUUGGCUUAUGAAUACUUUGGAUAUAAAUGGAUUGAUUUUGCAGGAAUUUUUAUAAAAGCGUCUCCACCGAUAGACAUAUUUUUUGGGGUCUCAGCUUUUCUUUGUUUAUACAAUCCUCAAGUAAGUGGAACUGGCUCAUACAGUGCUUCAACCAUUUUUCUCCAAAACGGGAAUGAACAAAUCUUCGAGCAAAUACAAGUGGGAUAGAUUGUGCAUCCAAGGUUGUACGGUGACACCCGAACUCGAUUGUUUACCACGUGGACAGUAAGUAUAUUUUUAAAUAAACUAAUUAAUUUUGGAAAACAAAAUAAUCAACAAAUACUUGAAUAGGUGGAUGGGUAUCAAAAAACAGGAUGUUACAACACUCAGUGUCCAGGAUUUAUUCUAUUGAGCCGAGUAAUACCUAUAGAUCAUGCUUUUCCAAGGACCUCCGACAUAGAAACUAAUUACAAAGAGGAAGUGCUUCUCAGACGGAAUAUGUUGAUUAUCAUCUUGUAAUGCCGGUAAUGAACGAGGAGAUAGGAAUGUGGCCCUAUGAAGUGUUCAACAGAUUGAGCGCAAAUGCAGCGAACUUGGUGCAAUACGGAGGAAAAGUGUACACACCGGCAGGCGAAGAUAUUAGCCUUCCUAUGGGAAAUGGUCAAUUUAGAGGAGGGCAACGUUACCUAACUAGUUAUAUGCGCAAAGUAUUAUAUGAAAUACAAGUAGAUGGCCACAAAGAACAAGUUCCACCAGAUGACUCUAAGGUUGGAUCUAAACUCUAAAGAGUUAAGGUGUUACUACGAAGGAAAUCAUUAUAAUGAGAAUGAUGGAUGUUGGGACUAUUCUUUUAUAUUUUGGGGUAGAGGUGGUAAAGAUCAAGGGAAUGGUUGUAUAUAUUUGAAAAUGGAAAAGGUACCCUACUAUAUAUGUACCUUGACUUUAAUUUGAAGGUUUAAACAUGAAUGCUAACCGUCUUUGAACCUAAAA
Molecule: RNA transcript, 1504 nt
Organism: Capsicum annuum
Lineage: Eukaryota; Viridiplantae; Streptophyta; Magnoliopsida; Solanales; Solanaceae
Exons: 6
Source: RefSeq, a predicted model, not a curated record